UCAAGAAAAAGGCAAACCAUCGCGAAAGCAUGGGACGCAAAGCUUCCGGCCUUCACACCUCAAUCUUUGUUGCGGUGUUGGUAGCGGAGUUACCGAU
Molecule: non-coding RNA, 97 nt
Filed under: Enterovibrio coralii
Lineage: Bacteria; Pseudomonadati; Pseudomonadota; Gammaproteobacteria; Vibrionales; Vibrionaceae
Description: c-di-GMP sequence
Rfam family: c-di-GMP-I riboswitch aptamer
About the family: GEMM was predicted in a large-scale screen for bacterial structured RNA regulatory elements.
Source: Rfam by way of RNAcentral